RNAcentral lists this ribosomal RNA (459 nucleotides) under uncultured bacterium. RNAcentral's name for it is "partial 16S ribosomal RNA". It matches the Rfam family "Bacterial small subunit ribosomal RNA", at positions 338 to 795 of the family's 1533-position model. The record is from RNAcentral.
CCUACGGGAGGCAGCAGUGAGGAAUAUUGGUCAAUGGCCGGGAGGCUGAACCAGCCAAGUCGCGUGAGGGAAGACGGCCCUACGGGUUGUAAACCUCUUUUGUCAGGGAGCAAGGUGCAGGUCGGGACCUGCUGUGAGAGUACCUGAAGAAAAAGCAUCGGCUAACUCCGUGCCAGCAGCCGCGGUAAUACGGAGGAUGCGAGCGUUAUCCGGAUUUAUUGGGUUUAAAGGGUGCGCAGGCGGAGGUGCAAGUCAGCGGUCAAAUUGCGGGGCUCAACCCCGUACUGCCGUUGAAACUGCAUCCCUUGAGUGCGCGAGAAGUAUGCGGAAUGCGUGGUGUAGCGGUGAAAUGCAUAGAUAUCACGCAGAACUCCGAUUGCGAAGGCAGCAUACCGGCGCGCAACUGACGCUCAUGCACGAAAGCGUGGGUAUCGAACAGGAUUAGAUACCCUGGUAGUC